GGUCUCGUAACUCAGCUGGUAGAGCGUGCGCGUACAAAGCGUAGGCGGCGUCCAUGCGUGGGUUCGAAUCCCAACGAGGUUA
Non-coding RNA from Echinostoma caproni, 82 nucleotides. The record is from Rfam. Lineage: Eukaryota; Metazoa; Platyhelminthes; Trematoda; Plagiorchiida; Echinostomatidae.